RNAcentral lists this ribosomal RNA (237 nucleotides) under uncultured bacterium. Its description in RNAcentral is "partial 16S ribosomal RNA". It matches the Rfam family "Bacterial small subunit ribosomal RNA", at positions 15 to 244 of the family's 1533-position model. The record is from RNAcentral.
GAUCCUGGCUCAGGAUGAACGCUAGCGGCAGGCUUAACACAUGCAAGUCGAGGGGCAGCAUAAUGGAUAGCAAUAUCUAUGGUGGCGACCGGCGCACGGGUGCGUAACGCGUAUGCAACCUACCUUUAAACAGGGGGGAUAACACUGAGAAAUUGGGUACUAAUACCCCAUAAUAUCAUAGAAGGCAUCUUUANGGUUGAAAAUUCCGAUGGUUAGAGAUGGGCAUGCGUUGAUUAG